GAUGAAGAACGUAGCGAAAUGCGAUACGUAAUGUGAAUUGCAGAAUUCAGUGAAUCAUCGAGUCUUUGAACGCACAUGGCGCCUUCCAGUAUCCUGGGAGGCAUGCCUGUCCGAGCGUCGUUUCAACCCUCGAGCCCCCGUGGCCCGGCGUUGGGGAUCUACCACGGCAGGCCCCUAAAACCAGUGGCGGACCCGAAGGCCCUCUCCUUUGCGCAGUAGCAUCAGCCUCGCAUUGGGAUCCCUCGGCGUCCUGCCUCUAAACCCCCCACAAGUCCGCUCCGGCGGCACCAAGGUUGACCUCGGAUCAGGUAGGAAUACCCGCUGAACUUAAGCAUAUCAAUAAGCGGAGGA
Molecule: unclassified non-coding RNA, 351 nt
Filed under: soil metagenome
Description: partial contains 5.8S ribosomal RNA, internal transcribed spacer 2, and large subunit ribosomal RNA
Rfam family: 5.8S ribosomal RNA (bases 1-120)
Source: RNAcentral